RNAcentral lists this ribosomal RNA (466 nucleotides) under Vreelandella stevensii. RNAcentral describes it as "partial 16S ribosomal RNA". It matches the Rfam family "Bacterial small subunit ribosomal RNA", at positions 338 to 795 of the family's 1533-position model. Lineage: Bacteria; Pseudomonadati; Pseudomonadota; Gammaproteobacteria; Oceanospirillales; Halomonadaceae. The record is from RNAcentral.
CCUACGGGAGGCAGCAGUGGGGAAUAUUGGACAAUGGGGGCAACCCUGAUCCAGCCAUGCCGCGUGUGUGAAGAAGGCCCUCGGGUUGUAAAGCACUUUCAGUGAGGAAGAACGCCUGGUGGUUAAUACCCAUCAGGAAAGACAUCACUCACAGAAGAAGCACCGGCUAAACUCCGUGCCAGCAGCCGCGGUAAUACGGAGGGUGCGAGCGUUAAUCGGAAUUACUGGGCGUAAAGCGCGCGUAGGUGGCUUGAUAAGCCGGUUGUGAAAGCCCCGGGCUCAACCUGGGAACGGCAUCCGGAACUGUCAAGCUAGAGUGCAGGAGAGGAAGGUAGAAUUCCCGGUGUAGCGGUGAAAUGCGUAGAGAUCGGGAGGAAUACCAGUGGCGAAGGCGGCCUUCUGGACUGACACUGACACUGAGGUGCGAAAGCGUGGGUAGCAAACAGGAUUAGAUACCCUUGUAGUC